Molecule: non-coding RNA, 87 nt
Filed under: unclassified sequences
Description: Proteo-phage-1 RNA
Rfam family: Proteo-phage-1 RNA
Source: Rfam by way of RNAcentral
CCCGAGCCUGCCGGGGCCGCGCAAGCGGAUAAGGGCGGGACACGGAUUAGUCGGGCAGUGCCGUGAUUCAGAAAAACCCCGACUGCC